This 400-nucleotide ribosomal RNA is filed under the name uncultured bacterium. RNAcentral's name for it is "bacterial SSU rRNA". It matches the Rfam family "Bacterial small subunit ribosomal RNA", at positions 356 to 773 of the family's 1533-position model. The record is from RNAcentral.
GGGGAAUAUUGGACAAUGGGCGAAAGCCUGAUCCAGCAAUGCCGCGUGAGUGAUGAAGGCCUUAGGGUCGUAAAGCUCUUUUACCAGGGAUGAUAAUGACAGUACCUGGAGAAUAAGCUCCGGCUAACUCCGUGCCAGCAGCCGCGGUAAUACGGAGGGAGCUAGCGUUGUUCGGAAUUACUGGGCGUAAAGCGCGCGUAGGCGGUUACCCAAGUCAGAGGUGAAAUCCCGGAGCUCAACUCCGGAACUGCCUUUGAAACUAUGUAACUAGAAUCUUGGAGAGGCGAGUGGAAUUCCGAGUGUAGAGGUGAAAUUCGUAGAUAUUCGGAAGAACACCAGUGGCGAAGGCGACUCGCUGGACAAGUAUUGACGCUGAGGUGCGAAAGCGUGGGGAGCAAAC